This 254-nucleotide ribosomal RNA is filed under the name uncultured bacterium. Its description in RNAcentral is "partial 16S ribosomal RNA". It matches the Rfam family "Bacterial small subunit ribosomal RNA", at positions 524 to 776 of the family's 1533-position model. The record is from RNAcentral.
UACAGAGGUCUCAAGCGUUGUUCGGAUUCAUUGGGCGUAAAGGGCGCGUAGGCGGCGGCGUAAGUUCGUGGUGAAAUCCCAUCGGCUCAACCGUGGAAUUGCUUCGAAUACUGCGUCGCUCGAGGGAGAUAGGGGACCGCAGAACUGCCGGUGGAGCGGUGAAAUGUGUUGAUAUCGGCGGGAAUGCCAGUGCCGAAAGGGGCGGUCUGGACCUCUUCUGACGCUGAGGCGCGAAAGCCAGGGGAGCGAACGGG